GAUGAACGCUGGCGGCGUGCCUAAUACAUGCAAGUCGAGCGAACAGACGAGGAGCUUGCUCCUCUGACGUUAGCGGCGGACGGGUGAGUAACACGUGGAUAACCUACCUAUAAGACUGGGAUAACUUCGGGAAACCGGAGCUAAUACCGGAUAAUAUAUUGAACCGCAUGGUUCAAUAAUGAAAGACGGUUUUGCUGUCACUUAUCGAUGGAUCCGCGCCGCAUUAGCUAGUUGGUAAGGUAACGGCUUACCAAGGCAACGAUGCGUAGCCGACCUGAGAGGGUGAUCGGCCACACUGGAACGGAGACACGGUCCAGACUCCUACGGGAGGCAGCAGUAGGGAAUCUUCCGCAAUGGGCGAAAGCCUGACGGAGCAACGCCGCGUGAGUGAUGAAGGUCUUCGGAUCGUAAAACUCUGUUAUUAGGGAAGAACAAAUGUGUAAGUAACUAUGCACGUCUUGACGGUACCUAAUCAGAAAGCCACGGCUAACUACGUG
Molecule: ribosomal RNA, 497 nt
Filed under: uncultured bacterium
Lineage: Bacteria
Description: partial 16S ribosomal RNA
Rfam family: Bacterial small subunit ribosomal RNA
Source: RNAcentral